CCAGCAGCCGCGGUAAUUCCAGCUCCAAUAGCGUAUGUUAAAGUUGUUGCGGUUAAAAAGCUCGUAGUUGGAUCUCGGCACCCCUCUGCCGGUCGCCUGUACGGGCGGACUGGCACGAUCGGGGUGUGUUACUUUUUGGCGGAGGCCGGGAGGUGCUCUUCACCGAGUGUCUCCAGGUGCCGUCAGGUUUACUUUGAAAAAAUUAGAGUGCUCAGAGCAGGCCUUACACGCCUGAAUAGUCGUGCAUGGAAUAAUGGAAUAGGACGUCGUUUCUAUUUUGUUGGUUUUCGGAAAUCGACGUAAUGAUUAAUAGGGACAGUCGGGGGCAUUAGUACUCAAACGAC
This 344-nucleotide ribosomal RNA is filed under the name uncultured eukaryote. Its description in RNAcentral is "SSU rRNA". It matches the Rfam family "Eukaryotic small subunit ribosomal RNA", at positions 567 to 906 of the family's 1831-position model. The record is from RNAcentral.